CUGGUUUUAGUAGAGGCUUUUGCAGCAUGUUGCUGCUGAUGGAUUUGUGCAGUCAUCACCAUUAAAGCUUGAGGCUGUCAGCAGCAGCAGGUUUGCUCAUCUCUGAGGUAUUGGGAGUACGUUAUAGACAUCAUUAAAUUUAUGGCUCUUCUGGUUAGGAAAAAGAAAGAAGUGGUCAUACUGCUGACAAGUUUACAUCAACACCUGAGCAUAUAAAAGAUUAAAAGGGCAAGAGAAGCAGGUUUGCCACCUUUGCUUCAUGUGCACAGGCUGAGAUCUGUGGAAAAGCCUGGAAAAGCUCUUAUGCCUUUGAACAGAGGAGCAAAAGGAGAUUUUACCUGCAGACGCGAUUGUGGUUCUAGAAUGAGUUUAUGCAGAAAGGUGUCCUGUCCCCAUUAGAGCUGCAAUGAACAGCUCCCUGUGGACAACAAGGGACUCACUGGCUGUGACCUUCCUUGCAAACACGCUCAGCGGCAAUAUUGAGGGGCCAACACUUGAACUAUGAAUAUUUUUUCAGCUUUUCUUCACAGCUCAGCUCUCCUCCUAUGCAGUCAGAUACUCCAAAGCAAUUUUUCAAGCUGAUCCUUUUGAAAAAUGUCUGUGUGCUGGGGAAGACCUGUGAUUUGCUGCCCAGUGCUUCCUUCAUCAGAGCUGCUGGGAAUUCCUUUCUAUUGCAUUAGCAACCAGAAAAUUGUGGAGUUUUUUGUUUUUGUUGUUGUCUCUUUGGUGGGGGGGGGGGUUAAUUAAAUGUUGUGCUGUGGCAUUUCAUGUAUGCAAUCCUUCAAAGUUUACUAUAGCUGGUGGAAUGGCUAAAUGAUGAGCCAGCUUCCCUGUUGUCAAACCAGAGCACAGCCUCACAAAGCGAGCCGGGUGUUUCCUUUCCUGUCUCCAUUGAUUUGUGAAUCCAUACUCAUCAGAGAGUGUGAUUUUGUUCUUGUUUCUCACACUUCCCCUGAGCUAGCUG
This is a long non-coding RNA of Motacilla alba alba, 964 nucleotides long. RefSeq lists it as uncharacterized. The record is from RefSeq and is a predicted model, not a curated record. The transcript has 3 exons. Lineage: Eukaryota; Metazoa; Chordata; Aves; Passeriformes; Motacillidae.